GACGAACGCUGGCGGCGCGCCUAACACAUGCAAGUCGAACGAGCGAGAGAGAGCUUGCUUUCUUGAGCGAGUGGCGAACGGGUGAGUAACGCGUGAGGAACCUGCCUCAAAGAGGGGGACAACAGUUGGAAACGACUGCUAAUACCGCAUAAGCCCACGGUGCCGCAUGGCACAGAGGGAAAAGGAGCAAUCCGCUGUGAGAUGGCCUCGCGUCCGAUUAGCUAGUUGGUGAGGUAACGGCCCACCAAGGCGACGAUCGGUAGCCGGACUGAGAGGUUGAACGGCCACAUUGGGACUGAGACACGGCCCAGACUCCUACGGGAGGCAGCAGUGGGGAAUAUUGCACAAUGGGGGAAACCCUGAUGCAGCGACGCCGCGUGGAGGAAGAAGGUCUUCGGAUUGUAAACUCCUGUUGUUGGGGAAGAUAAUGACGGUACCCAACAAGGAAGUGACGGCUAACUACGUG
Molecule: ribosomal RNA, 466 nt
Filed under: uncultured bacterium
Lineage: Bacteria
Description: partial 16S ribosomal RNA
Rfam family: Bacterial small subunit ribosomal RNA
Source: RNAcentral